CUUUGCCCUAGUAGCUUAAAUUUAACCUAAAGCCUUG
This 37-nucleotide transfer RNA is filed under the name Darevskia daghestanica. Its description in RNAcentral is "partial tRNA-Thr". The record is from RNAcentral. Lineage: Eukaryota; Metazoa; Chordata; Lepidosauria; Squamata; Lacertidae.